This 73-nucleotide transfer RNA is filed under the name Dinophyceae sp. TGD. RNAcentral describes it as "tRNA-Phe". It matches the Rfam family "tRNA". Rfam says of the family: Transfer RNA (tRNA) molecules are approximately 80 nucleotides in length. Lineage: Eukaryota; Dinophyceae. The record is from RNAcentral.
GUCAAGAUAGCUCAGUUGGUAGAGCAAUGGAUUGAAAAUCCAUAGGUCACCAGUUCAAAGCUGGUUUUUGACA